Bubalus bubalis (water buffalo) is the source of this 2510-nucleotide RNA transcript. It is a transcript of the gene named cystinosin, lysosomal cystine transporter, with no coding region annotated. Lineage: Eukaryota; Metazoa; Chordata; Mammalia; Artiodactyla; Bovidae. The transcript is spliced from 12 exons. The record is from RefSeq and is a predicted model, not a curated record.
UGCAAUGUUUUCCGAGGCUUCAGCUUCGCUCUCCAAAGUGUCUCGGAGUUCUCGGACAGGCCCUGGAAGACUCGAGAGCCCCUGUGGCCCUAACAGUGACUUAGCCCUCCCAUUUACCGGACCCCCUAUCCCUGCCAAGUUGCCUGAGCCCCUCCGCUCUUCACCAACCCCGAGGUGUCUCACUGAGGCCCGGGAAAACUACAGCUCCCAGGUUGCAUCGCGCCGAGGCCCGUAGGCCGCGAAUCAGGCGGCUCGGGUCAGGUGACUUCUGGCCAGCCCUCACGGUAUGUCAAGCCGCCCCCGGGAAGCGGGUACAGUCCGAGACGACUGCCUCGUUCCAUCUGAUCGAUGCCCUGAGCCUAGAGGACCUCAGUUCAUCGAAAUCAAGGAACAUGAUAAGGAGGUGGCUGGUUAUUUUUAUCCUUUUCCCCCUGCAGCUCAUAGAGAAAUGUGAGUCAACAGUUGCCUUCUCUGUACCUCCCAUCGUGAAGCUGGAAAAAGGAAGCUCCACCAGUGUCAGCAUCUCCCUCCCGCGCCCUUUAAAUGAAACCUUGGUGAUCACUUUUGAAAUCACAUUUCGUUCAAAAAACAUUACUAUCCUUCAGCUUCCUGAUGAAGUCGUGGUGCCUCCUGGAACAACAAAUUCCUCUUUUCGAGUGACGUCUCAAAGUGUUGGACAAGUUACCACUUAUCUGCAUGGAAAUCACUCCAACCAGACCAGCCCAAGGAUACGCUUCUUGGUGAUCCACAGCAACAUCGUCAGCAUCAUAAACCAGGUGAUCGGCUGGAUCUACUUCGUGGCCUGGUCGGUCUCCUUCUACCCUCAGGUGAUCACCAACUGGAGGCGGAAAAGUGUCGUGGGUCUGAGCUUUGACUUUGUGGUCCUCAACCUGAUGGGGUUCGUGGCCUACAGCGUAUUCAACAUCGGCCUCUUCUGGGUGCCUUCCAUCAAGGAGCAGUUUCUCCUCAAAUACCCCAACGGCGUGAACCCCGUGGACAGCAACGACGUCUUCUUCAGCCUGCACGCGGUCGCCCUCACCCUGGUUGUCAUAGGGCAGUGCCUCCUGUACGAGCGAGGCAACCAGCGUGUGUCCUGGCUGGCCAUCAGCUUCCUGGUGCUCUCCUGGCUCUUCACACUCAUCGCCCUGAUCAUGGCUGCGGUUGGGGCAACCACGUGGCUGCAGUUUCUCUUCUGUUUCUCCUACAUCAAGCUGGCAGUGACGCUGGUCAAGUAUUUUCCACAGGGACUCAGGAAGGAGAACGUUUUGGCCAGAGUCAGGGCCAGUCCCCUGGAGGGCAUGGAAACAGAGCCAUGCCCUUAAGGAUCAGCAGGACUCAGUCCCAUGGACCGGCGAGGAGGGGCCACUCCGGGCCAGUGCAUUCUGCACAAAGGCGCUGUCGAAGGAGGCCUUGCUGGUGGAGCAGUGUGAAGCUAGGAAGGCAGGAUCGGGGUCCAGGGGGCUUGGGAAGGAGGCUUCAGAGUAGGGGAAGGGCCUGGGGGAAGUAGGGCCUCAGUCCUGAGUGUGGGAAGGCUUGGGCCUGGGAAACCUGGGAGGCAGGAGCCUCAGCUGGAGAUGUCUAGGACCACCCAGGACUGGAGAGGUGGCAGCAAGCAUGAAAGAUAGCGGGAGAGGGCCAAGAAGGGGACCUGACAAGCGGCUGACUGGGAGAAGACCACUACGGAGGCCAAGCUGUCCCUCGGGUGGUGAGAAGAGCGGUCGCAGAGAUGCCCAGAGGGGGCUGGUGUUGGAGGAAGGGUGUGGGGCCCUGAUACCUGGAGGAGGAGUGAUGUCCAAGUGGACUGGACCUGGGAAGCCCAAGGUGGAGGCCCUAGAGCCUCAGCAGGGCUGGGGAAGGAGUUAAGUCCACUCCAUAGGUGGGAAAACUGAGGCUAGAACUCAAGUCACUCUCCCAAGGUAACACAGCUCCCGUGGUGAAGCUGGGAUUCCAAAGUAAGUCAUUGGACCUCCCAGGCUGGUUCAUAAGCCCAACAUGAAGUCCAGGCUGAGUUUGGGGAGAAUCUCCAUUUGAAGGUGAGAAGAAACAAAUCCGAGUUGCCUGAAAGCCAGGAUAUAUGGAAGGAUGAAGAAGAUGGAGAGACAGCAUCCACACACACCCCUCUCCCUCCUCCCAUUGCCCUGGCUGGAGUUGGGAGUCUGGAGCCGGUGGUGGAGGUGGGGAGGGACAGGGAGGAGAGCUCUGUUCGCUUGGCUCACAGACCCCAGGACCCGCCCAGAGUGUGCCUGCAGCUCCGAGUCCAAAGGUCAUUGUGUUUUGGGGGCUGAGGUCCAAACAGAGGAGUGGGAGGCCUACAUGAACUUUCACUACAAAAGCACCGAGGGCUGGAGCAUUGGCAACGUGCUUCUGGACUUCACUGGGGGCAGCUUCAGCCUCCUCCAGAUGUUCCUGCAGUCCUACAACAAUGACCAGUGGACACUGAUCUUCGGAGACCCAACCAAGUUUGGCCUCGGCAUCUUUUCCAUCAUCUUCGAUGUUGUCUUCUUCAUCCA